RNAcentral lists this ribosomal RNA (477 nucleotides) under uncultured bacterium. Its description in RNAcentral is "partial 16S ribosomal RNA". It matches the Rfam family "Bacterial small subunit ribosomal RNA", at positions 28 to 507 of the family's 1533-position model. The record is from RNAcentral.
GAUGAACGCUAGCGGCAGGCCUAACACAUGCAAGUCGAGGGGAAGGCCCUUUCGGGGGCGGAACCCGCGCCCGGGUGCGGUACCGGUUUUCAACCUUCCUUUCACCAGGGGGUAGGCCGGAGGAAUUUUGGUUUAUUACCCCAUAUUAUUAUUGAUUGCCAUCAUUUGUUAUUAAAAACUGGGGUGGUAAAAGUGGGCAUGCGUCCUAUUAGCUAGUUGGAGUGGUAACGGCACCCCAAGGCUACGAUAGGUAGGGGUCCUGAGAGGGAGAUCCCCCACACUGGUACUGAGACAGGGACCAGACUCCUACGGGAGGCAGCAGUGAGGAAUAUUGGUCAAUGGUCGGAAGACUGAACCAGCCAUGCCGCGUGCAGGAAGAAUGCCUUAUGGGUUGUAAACUGCUUUUAUAUGGGAAGAAUAAGGCGUACGUGUACGUUGAUGACGGUACCAUAUGAAUAAGCAUCGGCUAACUCCGUG